CCACUAUGGAAGUUCGAUCGAAGUCUGGUUCUUGUAGAAGGCUGAAAGGAGAUCGCUUAUUGUAGAAGCUCGGUCGAAGAUCGGUUGUCGUGGGAGCUCGGAGUAGCGACCUGGCCGGUGGGUCCUGUCCCAUUGUAGAAGCUCAUCUGGGAUCCGGCUACGAAGAAGCUUGGUUGAAGUCUACCUGUAAUAGAAGUUCGAAAAAAAUAUGUUUACAGUA
This 220-nucleotide long non-coding RNA is filed under the name Elaeis guineensis (African oil palm). RNAcentral describes it as "long non-coding RNA (EGUI_LNC082175)". Lineage: Eukaryota; Viridiplantae; Streptophyta; Magnoliopsida; Arecales; Arecaceae. The record is from RNAcentral.